UGCAGCCUUGUCAAAUUCAGCACUGUCUGUCUCAUGGCAUCUGCUGGCCCAGUUGGCUGCUACAUUAACUGUGUAGCUCGCGGGCCCCGGCUUCCCUUAGUGAUACCCGGGGACAGUAACGAGCUACGACAGUC
This is a small nucleolar RNA of Bombina bombina (fire-bellied toad), 134 nucleotides long. RefSeq annotates it as small nucleolar RNA SNORA5. NCBI's taxonomy places the organism in Eukaryota, Metazoa, Chordata, Amphibia, Anura, Bombinatoridae. The transcript has a single exon. The record is from RefSeq and is a predicted model, not a curated record.